Molecule: long non-coding RNA, 623 nt
Organism: Myotis lucifugus (little brown bat)
Lineage: Eukaryota; Metazoa; Chordata; Mammalia; Chiroptera; Vespertilionidae
Exons: 3
Source: RefSeq, a predicted model, not a curated record
UGCAACCCAGCCAUGUGCCCUUGACUGGAAUCAAACCCGGGACCCUUCAGUCCACAGACUGACGCCCUAUCCACAGAGACAAGCCAGCUAGGGCUUGUAAGGCUUUUGGAUUUGACACCACCUGUGCUGCUACCUCCUUCCCGGUCCAAGAUACUAUCAUAAUCCGCAGACUGAAGAAGUCAACCAUUUGCCUGAAGUCACGCAGCUAGCUGGCGAAUGCUGAGGCUGUGAUUCCGCAAACUCUGUUGGUGACUGCUCAUAACCCCUUGGAGGGUCCUACUGCGGCCUCAGUGCUUCCUCUCAGCACAGGACAUGCCAGCUGUGCCAGGGAGUUGAUGAUUCCAGAACAGCCCUCAACCAACGACUGACAGGAGUUGAAGGAUAAGUACCUCCACUUGGGUGGGACAACUCUGAGGUGCAUGUUCCAAACAGUUUCCCAGAGUUCCAGUGGUGACCCACUUGACAGCACAUAUAGGAAACAGAAACCCAGCACAAGAUAGAAGCAAAUGGAGUUCCCAGAUGAUGGUGAAGGAAGGUCCCCGGGGGAUCUUUGACAGCUGUGGACCAGAGCGGGUAACCAGUCAAGAUUCUAGCAGGUCUGAAGGCUCCAGGGAGAUCCCUUC